RNAcentral lists this ribosomal RNA (465 nucleotides) under uncultured bacterium. RNAcentral describes it as "bacterial SSU rRNA". It matches the Rfam family "Bacterial small subunit ribosomal RNA", at positions 8 to 507 of the family's 1533-position model. The record is from RNAcentral.
AGAGUUUGAUCAUGGCUCAGGAUGAACGCUGGCGGCGUGCCUAAUACAUGCAAGUCGUGCGGAAAGGCCACUUCGGUGGUACUCGAGCGGCGGACGGCAGAGUAACGCGUAGGGAACAUACCCCAAACUGAGGCAUAACUGCUCGAAAGAGCAGCUAAUACCGCAUGUGAUCUUCGGAUUUAAAAGCUUCGGCGGUUUGGGAAUGGCCUGCGUCCGAUUAGCUAGUUGGUGAGGUAAAUGCUCACCAAGGCUUCGAUCGGUAGCUGGUCUGAGAGGAUGAUCAGCCUGACUGGAACUGAGAACGGUCCAGACUCCUACGGGAGGCAGCAGUAGGGAAUUUUCCACAAUGGGCGAAAGCCUGAUGGAGCAACGCCGCGUGCAGGAUGAAUGCCUUCGGGUUGUAAACUGCUUUUAUUAGUGAAGAAUAUGACGGUAACUAAUGAAUAAGGGUCGGCUAACUACGUG